UAGUAUUAUAGGUGUGGUACUGGACAGAUGGGUUAGUAUUAUAGGUGUGGUACUAGACAGAUGGGUUAGUAUUAUAGGUGUGGAACUGGACAUAUGGUUUGGUAUUACAGGUGUGGUACUGGACAGAUGGGUUAGUAUUACAGUUGUGGUACUAGAAGGAUGGGUUAUGGGUAGUAUUAUAGGUGUGGUACUAGACAGAUGGGUUAGUAUUAUAGGUGUGGUACUAGACAGAUGGGUUAGUAUUAUCGGUGUGGUACUAGACAGAUGGGUUAGUUAUAUAGGUGUGGUACUAGACAGAUGGGUUAGUAUUAUAGGUGUGGUACUAGACAGAUGGGUUAUGGUUAGUAUUAUAGGUGUGGUACUGGACAGAUGGGUUAGUAUUAUAGGUGUGGUACUGGACAGAUGGGUUAGUA
RNAcentral lists this long non-coding RNA (413 nucleotides) under Salmo salar (Atlantic salmon). RNAcentral describes it as "lncRNA (ENSSSAG00000081932.1)". The record is from RNAcentral. Lineage: Eukaryota; Metazoa; Chordata; Actinopteri; Salmoniformes; Salmonidae.